Molecule: transfer RNA, 71 nt
Filed under: Anolis cybotes (large-headed anole)
Lineage: Eukaryota; Metazoa; Chordata; Lepidosauria; Squamata; Anolidae
Description: tRNA-Leu specifying CUN codons
Rfam family: tRNA
About the family: Transfer RNA (tRNA) molecules are approximately 80 nucleotides in length. Their secondary structure includes four short double-helical elements and three loops (D, anti-codon, and T loops).
Source: RNAcentral
ACUUUUAAAGGAUAGCAGUAAUCCAUUGGUUUUAGGUACCAAAAAUCUAGGUGCAACCCCAAGUAAAAGUA